RNAcentral lists this ribosomal RNA (381 nucleotides) under uncultured eukaryote. RNAcentral's name for it is "partial 18S ribosomal RNA". It matches the Rfam family "Eukaryotic small subunit ribosomal RNA", at positions 592 to 976 of the family's 1831-position model. The record is from RNAcentral.
CAAUAGCGUAUAUUAAAGCUGUUGCGGUUAAAAAGCUCGUAGUUGGAUUUCUGUCAAGGACAACUGGUCCGCCCUUCGGGUGAGCACAUAGUUUGGUCUUGGCAUCUUGCUGGAAGCUGUUGCUGCACUUGGCUGUGUGGCGCAGCGUCCAGCACUUUCACUUUGAGGAAAUUGGAGUGUUUCAAGCAGGCACAUGCCUUUGGACACAGUAGCAUGGAAUAAUUAGAUUGGGCUUUUGCUCCAAUUUGUCGGUUUCUGGAGCUGAGGUGAGAAUUAAUGGGGAUUGUUGGGGGCAUCCGAAUUUAGCCGUCAGAGGUGAAAUUCUUGGAUCUGCUAAAGACGGACAACUGCGAAAGCGUUUGCCCAGGAUGUUUUCAUUGA